RNAcentral lists this ribosomal RNA (468 nucleotides) under uncultured bacterium. RNAcentral describes it as "partial 16S ribosomal RNA". It matches the Rfam family "Bacterial small subunit ribosomal RNA", at positions 28 to 507 of the family's 1533-position model. The record is from RNAcentral.
GACGAACGCUGGCGGCGUGCUUAACACAUGCAAGUCGAACGGAAAGGCCCUGCUUUUGUGGGGUUCUCGAGUGGCGAACGGGUGAGUAACACGUGAGUAACCUGCCCUUGACUUUGGGAUAACUUCAGGAAACUGGGGCUAAUACCCGAUAGGAUCUCCUGCUGCAUGGUGGGGGUUGGAAAGUUUCGGCGGUUGGGGAUGGACUCGCGGCUUAUCAGCUUGUUGGUGGGGUAGUGGCUUACCAAGGCUUUGACGGGUAGCCGGCCUGAGAGGGUGACCGGCCACAUUGGGACUGAGAUACGGCCCAGACUCCUCCGGGCGGCAGCAGUGGAGAAUAUGGUACAAUGGGCGGAAGCCUGAUGAAGAAACGCCGCGGGUGGUAUGACGGCCUUCAAGUUGUCAACCGCUUUCGAGUGAGACGUAGCGAGAGUGACGGUAAUAAGUAAAGAAGCACCGGCUAACUACGUG